This 253-nucleotide ribosomal RNA is filed under the name uncultured bacterium. RNAcentral's name for it is "partial 16S ribosomal RNA". It matches the Rfam family "Bacterial small subunit ribosomal RNA", at positions 524 to 776 of the family's 1533-position model. The record is from RNAcentral.
UACAGAGGGGGCAAGCGUUGUUCGGAAUUACUGGGCGUAAAGGGCGCGUAGGCGGCCUGCUAAGUCGAACGUGAAAUCCCCGGGCUCAACCCGGGAACUGCGUCCGAUACUGGCAGGCUUGAAUCCGGGAGAGGGAUGUGGAAUUCCCAGUGUAGCGGUGAAAUGCGUAGAUAUUGGGAAGAACACCAGCGGCGAAAGCGCUCUACUGGGCCGCAACUGACACUCAUGGACGAAAGCUAGGGGAGCGAAAGGG